Molecule: ribosomal RNA, 369 nt
Filed under: Salmonella enterica subsp. enterica
Lineage: Bacteria; Pseudomonadati; Pseudomonadota; Gammaproteobacteria; Enterobacterales; Enterobacteriaceae
Description: partial 23S ribosomal RNA
Rfam family: Bacterial large subunit ribosomal RNA
Source: RNAcentral
CGAGCAACUUGGUUAAGCUACUAAGAGCACACGGAGGAUGCCUAGGCGCUAGGAGCCGAAGAAGGACGUGGCGAACAACGAAACUGCCUCGGGGAGCUGUAAGCAAGCAUCGAUCCGGGGGUGUCCGAAUGGGGAAACCCGGCUGGAGUAAUAUCCAGUCACUCGUAUCUGAAUUCAUAGGAUGCGAAGAGGCAUACCAGGGGAACUGAAACAUCUAAGUACCCUGAGGAAGAGAAAACAAAAGUGAUUCCGUCAGUAGCGGCGAGCGAACGCGGAUUAGCCUAAACCGAAGAGCUUGCUCUUCGGGGUUGUGGGACGUCUCACAUGGAGUUACAAAGGUUCAGAUUAGACGAAGAGGUCUGGAAAGGC